RNAcentral lists this ribosomal RNA (253 nucleotides) under uncultured prokaryote. Its description in RNAcentral is "partial 16S ribosomal RNA". It matches the Rfam family "Bacterial small subunit ribosomal RNA", at positions 524 to 776 of the family's 1533-position model. The record is from RNAcentral.
UACGUAGGGUGCAAGCGUUAAUCGGAAUUACUGGGCGUAAAGCGCACGUAGGCGGCUUUGUAAGUUAGAGGUGAAAGCCCGGGGCUCAACUCCGGAACUGCCUUUAAGACUGCAUCGCUUGAAUUGUGGAGAGGUGAGUGGAAUUCCCAGUGUAGAGGUGAAAUUCGUAGAUAUUGGGAAGAACACCGGUGGCGAAGGCGGCUCACUGGCUCGUUUCUGACGCUCAGGCGCGACAGCGUGGGGAUCAAACAGG